Alosa alosa (allis shad) is the source of this 414-nucleotide long non-coding RNA. RefSeq lists it as uncharacterized. The record is from RefSeq and is a predicted model, not a curated record. The transcript is spliced from 3 exons. Lineage: Eukaryota; Metazoa; Chordata; Actinopteri; Clupeiformes; Clupeidae.
UGAAGGCUUUCAUUGGAAUGAUGAGUCUCAUAUGUUUGAGUCUCUCUGCUCCACUUGAUCUAAGAGCUCCAGGCGGAGUGGAACAGAUCCAGGCUCAACCUAUGACAUUUCCUGGACAACCUUUGGCGCAACAAUCUCGAAGAAAUAUCACCUCCCACACAUACACCUACCCAAUCUUUCCGAGACUGGAUAAUUUCUACUAUACGUAUCCAUCUGGCUCAAUGACCCCGGUCUUCAACCUCUACCGGUCCUUCUCACCACAGGUCUACUUACCACUAGGCUACACACCGCCCAUUUACACCCAGUACCCGUCUCUGAACAGAGACAUGACCCCUUACACUGUUUAUCUGAGACAGGGAAUGUGAUCAGUUUGUCGUUUUGUAGUAGUACUAUGAGAGAUCACAUUUUUUAUUA